RNAcentral lists this long non-coding RNA (239 nucleotides) under Setaria viridis. Its description in RNAcentral is "long non-coding RNA (SVIR_LNC007885)". The record is from RNAcentral. Lineage: Eukaryota; Viridiplantae; Streptophyta; Magnoliopsida; Poales; Poaceae.
GGACGGCGGUGGCGACGGAGGAGGGAGAGUCUGCCCUCGCGGCCUUACGGGGUCGACAAGGCUACUUGAAUUGAUUUGCAAUUAUGUGAAUUGUAUGUGAAACUCUUUACUUGUAUGGUUAUUCUAAAGUUGUCCCUAGUCGGAGUUUAUGUGAGGACACACAUGAAUAUUAGACUAGCACAUGUAUUAGUUGAUGACUAUGUUUCACAAGUCAUAGACAUGGAGAUGUUGAACUAAUA